AAGUCAAACUCACUCUAACUUCAGUUUCUCCUCUUAUGAAUAUACUCUUAACACCGACGCUUGCAAUACAGAGAUAGGGAAGGAGAAAAAAAAAAACCUUGCGAUACAGAAGAAGGAGACAGAGUUCGUACCCGCCCCGCCACCGUCCGUUCCAUUGCCAGAAUUAUACCACUCAAACCGGCACCGAUAACCUAAAGGUGCACACAGGAAUAGAGAUACGGACAUAGAGAGAACUACCACCGAGUGCAAACUUACCCACUUAGAUUUCUGCCACCAAGUCAGUUUAGAGUCAUAAGAGAACGAUCGUUACAUCGUUUGAAGAUUCUUUUAAUAACCGUUUGGAAUAAGUUGAUACAAAAGGAGAGAGGACGAUAGAGAGACGAAGAAGAAGGAUUAUUAUAUAAGAAGAGAAAGCCAAUGGAGCAUACACAGGUCAAGAAGGGAGAACGUUUUUAUGGUGAUUGGCUUUUUAAAUUGGCUUUUUGAUUGUUGAGUGGAACCAUGAAGGCAAGCGGAUAUAGAAGAUGUCCAUGAGACCAAAUGUAAGAGAGAGUUUGAGAGACAAGCAGCAUUGCAAGCAUUGGAGAUUUGUUGCCCAUCCAAAGAGAUUCACUGUAAGUCAUUAUUUUAGAGAGAGAGUCUGUAAUGCAAUGAGAGAGAAAUUUGAUGGCCCUGCCACUGCCUUCUCGGUCUUCUGCCACUGUCAUACUUUCAGAACCAUUACCGGUAAUUUUGUUCUAUCUACUUAUUUUUAAGUUAGGUGACAAAUAUGAUAUAGGAAUUAAUUUGUUAGAGUUGCUUCUGUUUUUCAUAUUUGUGUCUAAUUUAGUUUUGUUUUGGGUAUGUCAGUUAAAUUAUUAAUAUCUUCUGUAACAAAAACUGAAAUGACUUUUCAAUUUGUAACAUUUGGCUUGAUCUCCAACAGAAAACUCCUUUUAGCCUAUUUUUCCCCGAAACCAAACACCCAAAAACCUUAAACCAAAGAGAGCCAUAAUAGGAACAACUGGUCAUAAGUCACAACCACAACCCAUCCAAGCAUCUACAAUGUCAACAAUGACAAGAAUAGAAGGUAUGAUAAUAAAUGAUUUUGUUCUUUUGAUUAAAUCUAUAGAGCCCAAAAGUUUAAUGUUUUCACCUUACAUUACACUUUGUAUUAAUGAGCAUCCCGCUUAAUCCUAGAUUUACAAGUUGAAUGAUGUCACUUCUCAUUAGAUGGGGAGUCCAUAUGCUUAUAGGUGGGCUUGGUAGGAAGCCAAGAAGGUGAGCAGCUAGGUGGAUUAAAAUUGUUUCUUUUUGAAACAUUGUUCAAUGCUGUAGACAGUGAGGAAUGCAUACUUUAAUGCUGCUAUAGUCAAAAGAUUUAAAAAAAAAAA
Long non-coding RNA from Quercus lobata, 1373 nucleotides. RefSeq lists it as uncharacterized. The transcript has 5 exons. The record is from RefSeq and is a predicted model, not a curated record. NCBI's taxonomy places the organism in Eukaryota, Viridiplantae, Streptophyta, Magnoliopsida, Fagales, Fagaceae.